AAAAAAAAAAAAAAUUGUUUUAUUUUUUCAUAUAAAAUAAUAAAUUUCAUUCCAAAGAAGAAAGAAAGAAAGAAAGGGGAUAAGCUAUUCCUUGCUGAUUGAUAUAAUUUAUAAGACCUAGAAUAACAAAACUAAGCUAUAUUCUAUAAUCACAUUGACAACACAAUAAGAGCACUGCACUUUAGUUGAUCUCACACAUCUUAAUUGACAACACAAUCUAUGAUCCAUCUGAGACUUCCAGAGCAACCAAAAAACUGCUACAUAAACUUGUUUAUAAGAUUAAAUCUGAACUAAAUUUACAUCUGUACUAUAAAUUGAUAGCCUAUAUCCACCAUUCAUUCAACAUAUAACCAUGAUCUCAAAAUACAUAUUUACUUUUGCUACUUACCCGAUAGAAGACAAAUUAAG
This 408-nucleotide unclassified non-coding RNA is filed under the name Hevea brasiliensis (rubber tree). Lineage: Eukaryota; Viridiplantae; Streptophyta; Magnoliopsida; Malpighiales; Euphorbiaceae. The record is from RNAcentral.